RNAcentral lists this ribosomal RNA (194 nucleotides) under uncultured bacterium. Its description in RNAcentral is "partial 16S ribosomal RNA". It matches the Rfam family "Bacterial small subunit ribosomal RNA", at positions 1307 to 1500 of the family's 1533-position model. The record is from RNAcentral.
GCAACUCGCCUGCAUGAAGUCGGAAUUGCUAGUAAUCGCAGAUCAGCAUGCUGCGGUGAAUACGUUCCCGGGCCUUGUACACACCGCCCGUCACACCAUGGGAGUCGGUAACACCCGAAGUCGGUAGCCUAACCGUAAGGAGGGCGCCGCCGAAGGUGGGAUUGAUGACUGGGGUGAAGUCGUAACAAGGUAUC